This 72-nucleotide transfer RNA is filed under the name Ovis aries (sheep). It matches the Rfam family "tRNA". From Rfam's summary of the family: Transfer RNA (tRNA) molecules are approximately 80 nucleotides in length. Their secondary structure includes four short double-helical elements and three loops (D, anti-codon, and T loops). Further hydrogen bonds mediate the characteristic L-shaped molecular structure. tRNAs have two regions of fundamental functional importance: the anti-codon, which is responsible for specific mRNA codon recognition, and the 3' end, to which the tRNAs corresponding amino acid is attached (by aminoacyl-tRNA synthetases). tRNAs cope with the degeneracy of the genetic code in two manners: having more than one tRNA (with a specific anti-codon) for a particular amino acid; and 'wobble' base-pairing, i.e. permitting non-standard base-pairing at the 3rd anti-codon position. The record is from Rfam by way of RNAcentral. RNAcentral also lists the same sequence under 5 other names. Lineage: Eukaryota; Metazoa; Chordata; Mammalia; Artiodactyla; Bovidae.
UCCCUGGUGGCUCAGACAGUAAAGAAUCUGCCUGCAAUGCAGGAGACCCAGGUUUGAUCCCUGGGUCGGGAA